AACAAAUAAUAUUUUCAAUUUUUAGAUAAAAUGUUUGACUCUUCGUCUUAUUAAAAAAAUUACGAUUAACAUUUUUUGUUUUUAUUAGAUGAUAAAACAUGAAUAGUACUUUAUGUGUACUAAUUUUUUAAAAUUUUUUUGAAAUUUUUUUAAAUAGGACGGAUGGUCAAACACUUGAUAUGAAAACCGAAAGAUUGCCUUAUU
This 204-nucleotide microRNA precursor is filed under the name Oryza brachyantha (malo sina). RNAcentral describes it as "MIR812 microRNA precursor family". The stretch from base 27 to 204 matches the Rfam family "MIR812 microRNA precursor family", at positions 27 to 205 of the family's 205-position model. The record is from Rfam by way of RNAcentral. Lineage: Eukaryota; Viridiplantae; Streptophyta; Magnoliopsida; Poales; Poaceae.